UAGGGAAUUUUGGACAAUGGGCGCAAGCCUGAUCCAGCCAUGCCGCGUGAGUGACGAAGGCCUUAGGGUUGUAAAGCUCUUUUGGCGGGGACGAUAAUGACGGUACCCGCAGAAUAAGCUCCGGCUAACUUCGUGCCAGCAGCCGCGGUAAUACGUAGGGACCAAGCGUUGUUCGGAUUUACUGGGCGUAAAGGGCGCGUAGGCGGCAAUUCAAGUCAUCUGUGAAAUCUCCGGGCUUAACUCGGAACGGUCAGAUGAUACUGCUUUGCUAGAGUGCAGAAGGGGCAAUCGGAAUUCUUGGUGUAGCGGUGAAAUGCGUAGAUAUCAAGAGGAACACCUGAGGUGAAGACGGGUUGCUGGGCUGACACUGACGCUGAGGCGCGAAAGCCAGGGGAGCAAACGGGAUUAGAUACCCCCGUAGUCCCUGAGCGGGCUGGCAAGGCGCAU
Molecule: ribosomal RNA, 447 nt
Filed under: uncultured bacterium
Lineage: Bacteria
Description: bacterial SSU rRNA
Rfam family: Bacterial small subunit ribosomal RNA
Source: RNAcentral